UAAGGAAUAUUGGACAAUGGGCGCAAGCCUGAUCCAGCCAUGCCGCGUGCAGGAUGAAAGUGCUCUGCACUGUAAACUGCUUUUACUUGGGAAAAAACCCCUGGUUUAUACCGGGGCUGAUUGUACCGAGAGAAUAAGGGACGGCUAACUUCGUGCCAGCAGCCGCGGUAAUACGAAGGUCCCAAGCGUUAUCCGGAUUUAUUGGGUUUAAAGGGUGCGUAGGCGGGCUAUUAAGUCAGUGGUGAAAGCCCCAAGCUUAACUUGGGAACUGCCAUUGAUACUGAUGGUCUUGAGUACAUUUGAGGUGGGCGGAAUGUGUCAUGUAGCGGUGAAAUGCUUAGAUAUGACACAGAACACCGAUUGCGAAGGCAGCUCACUAAACUGUAACUGACGCUGAGGCACGAAAGCGUGGGGAGCAAACAGGAUUAGAUACCCUGGUAGUCCACGCCCUAAACGAUGAUCACUCGAUGUGUGCGAUAUAC
This 482-nucleotide ribosomal RNA is filed under the name uncultured Bacteroidota bacterium. RNAcentral's name for it is "bacterial SSU rRNA". It matches the Rfam family "Bacterial small subunit ribosomal RNA", at positions 355 to 834 of the family's 1533-position model. Lineage: Bacteria; Pseudomonadati; Bacteroidota. The record is from RNAcentral.